ACAAAUUAAAAUAGUACAAAACUUUCGAGUUAUACAAUAUGCAAUCUCAUUAACAUUACUGAAAUCCUAAUCCAAAUGAACCCAUCACGCGAAAUAUUUAAAACUGAACAGUAGAGGUAAAGGUUCAGUGAGUAUAUGUUUCUAUUAUCCAUACUUCAAAUUCAUUUUUUUUUUCUACAAAUGCGGUAAUCUCCGGCAUCACUUGAGCAUGAGAAAUACCUGGAACUGUUUACAAUGGAAGAAAAAGGAAGAUCAGCAGCAGCAAUCAACAGCAAUACACCAGCAGCAAUGGAACAACUUGGAAAACCAACAACACAACAAUGGAACAGUUUCAAAACAACCAGCACAGCACCCAAAACCAAAUAAAAAACUCGUAAUCCACAGAAUCACAGCAACCCACAGUUGACCCCAAUUCGAGACCAGAAACACACUCAAACAAGGUAUGAACUGAUCUGUAAAAUCCAACAAUAAUAGCCACCACCCAAAAGACUCCACUGAACUUGAUUGAACCACAACUGGACCAAAACUUCAAUGGAACAAUGUUGGCUUAUACUCUUAAACAGACAGGUCCUAAGCUCUCAAAAACUGACUUUAAGCUUUCAAAACUCUCAGACUAUUCAAGAUUGAAUGCCAGAAGAACUAUCUGUUUUCUUUUUGAGUGCUCUUCUCAAACUGAUUCAAAAGAGAAGCCCCUUACUCUGUCCCUUCCCCCCUCUAUUUAUACCCAAAAAACCCCUUUGACAUCCUUUUUUAACAUUUAGCCUUAUUAUGAAAUGUAUUCCCUGACAGCCCUAUUAUCAUACUGUCCCUUUCUAAUAUUUUUAUUCACAGGUGUAUGGGCAGCCUAAAUUUAAAAUUUAGGCGUGCCUGACAACCAUACUGCCCUGUUACCCUCAACUCCACUUUCAAAUUAAACAAACUUCUCUUUACUCAAAUAACUCCACUGUUAAUUGAUUCCAGAACUAGCUUGGUCAGUAUGACCAAAACAGACCUAAGUUCGGCUUCUACAGCUAGUUGAACCAACACGUUGGUUCUUUUUAACCUCUUAAACCAAAACAUAUACAAAAAUAGAACCAGGCAAUUCCAAAAUGAUAAGUGGGAGAUACAGGAAAUUCGAGUGAUCUCAACAAAGUCCAAUUAACUAUAAAACCAAACUAACGGACAAACCUAUUCAAUCGAUUCAAAGAGAUUAUAGCACGUGCUAAUCAACAGAAGAAAACUGAACCAAGAAAACGGCCCGAAAGAGGAGGAAGAACUACUUGACAACAAUGUCGAAUUAAUCAGUCAAAAUAAAACAGCAACAAAAGGAAAAGGAAAACAAAGGGAAAUACCUUGAAAUUUCAGACCAAACCCAAUCCGUUCUAGCUUACACUUCAACUCAAAAUUUCGAAGCCAAAAUGGACCUUAGUCGAGUGUUCUUCCACUCAGAGCACACGACUAAAGUCUAUUGAGACCUCAAAUUUUAAGCCUCGCAUCAAAACUGGAGUUUUGGGUUUUAGGGCUCGUCUUUGAUUUGAAAUUCGAGGGGCUCUGCUAGGAUUUGAGUAAAACUAACAGGGGAUUUGGGAUGGGGGUGGCCUAAUGGUUUAGAGGUGUAAAUUUGGGGCCAAAUAGACGAACUAGGGUUUGGGGUUGAUUUUUGAACUGAUAGUCUAAGAACCUGGUUGGGAUUUGAGGGAUGCUGUUAGGGGGAUUGGGACGGGGAGGUUAUGGUGAAUCUAGGGUAUAAUUUUUGGACGAUUUGGGCCACUGGAACCGCCGUUAGGCGAUUUCUGGUAGGUGGAGUACGGUGGAAGAAGGUGGAGGGUUCUGGGUUUGUCUCUGAUUUGUUAGAGCCGUAAUGAUGGGGGG
RNAcentral lists this long non-coding RNA (1851 nucleotides) under Nicotiana benthamiana. RNAcentral describes it as "long non-coding RNA (NBEN_LNC009826)". Lineage: Eukaryota; Viridiplantae; Streptophyta; Magnoliopsida; Solanales; Solanaceae. The record is from RNAcentral.